GCAUAUCAAUAAGCGGAGGAAAAGAAACCAACAGGGAUUGCCCUAGUAACGGCGAGCGAAGCGGCAACAGCUCAAAUUUGAAAUCUGGCUCCUUUUGGGGUCCGAGUUGUAAUUUGCAGAGGAUGCUUUUGGCGAGGCGCCUUCCGAGUUCCCUGGAACGGGACGCCAUAGAGGGUGAGAGCCCCGUACGGUCGGAUUGCCGAGCCUCUGUAUAGCUCCUUCAACGAGUCGAGUAGUUUGGGAAUGCUGCUCUAAAUGGGAGGUACAUCUCUUCUAAAGCUAAAUACCGGCCAGAGACCGAUAGCGCACAAGUAGAGUGAUCGAAAGAUGAAAAGCACUUUGAAAAGAGGGUUAAAUAGCACGUGAAAUUGUUGAAAGGGAAGCGCUUGUGACCAGACUUGUGCCCGGCGUUUAGCUAGCGUUCUCGCUAGUCGACUUCGCCGGGCUCAGGCCAGCAUCAGUUCGUCGUCGGGGAGAAAGACGGUGGGAAUGUAGCUCCCUCGGGAGUGUUAUAGCCUGCCGUGUAAUACCCUUCUUCGGACUGAGGUUCGCGCAUCUGCAAGGAUGCUGGCGUAAUGGUCAUCAGCGACCCGUCUUGAAACAC
RNAcentral lists this ribosomal RNA (604 nucleotides) under Parasporendocladia bactrospora. Its description in RNAcentral is "eukaryotic LSU rRNA". It matches the Rfam family "Eukaryotic large subunit ribosomal RNA", at positions 38 to 662 of the family's 3401-position model. The record is from RNAcentral. Lineage: Eukaryota; Fungi; Ascomycota; Sordariomycetes; Chaetosphaeriales; Chaetosphaeriaceae.